GUCACCCUAUAAAAGUCUGAGGCAGCCCCAGGAGGACCUCUGCAGCACAGCUCUCUCCCCGGGACGUGAGGUUCUGGCCACCCCGCCAUGAGGCUUCUAGUCGUCUCCAGGCUGCUCUGCAUCUUGCUCCUCUGCUUCUCCAUCUUCUCCACAGAAGGGAGAAAAAAUUCUAGUCAUCUCAGCAGGCCCUGGAAACGCAGACCAUGCUGUUCCCGAGUUCCUAACCCUGCCCUGAUGACCCGGAAAGGGCGCCGUGUGAGGAUCUGCAGACUGUGUAACUUCAAGCCAGAGUCCCGGCUUUGGGUGGUACCUGGGGCUCUCCCGCAAGUGUAAUGUUCCCCAGACAAGGCUGCAUGCAGCUGAGACCCUCAUGCCCAGUGCCCGAGACCUCCAGAAGUCUUGGGUUCUCCCAGGAUGCUCCUCUUGAAGCUGGGGCUGAUGGCAAAGAUGUCAAGAGCUUUGGCCCAUGGAAGCUUCUGCCCAUGAACCACGAACCUCUUCUCUUAAAGACACAACAUUUCUUGCCUGCCGUGUUGGACUGUAUUCAUAAUGCCUUUUAGAAAAACCUGAACCAGAAUUUUCUAAAAACCACAACAUGAAUACUAAGGUCAAAACUCUGGAUUGCCUGUCUUGCUGUGGGACCUUGAACAAAGAGCAAGAAUAAGA
Mustela lutreola (European mink) is the source of this 666-nucleotide long non-coding RNA. RefSeq lists it as uncharacterized. The transcript has 4 exons. The record is from RefSeq and is a predicted model, not a curated record. Lineage: Eukaryota; Metazoa; Chordata; Mammalia; Carnivora; Mustelidae.